RNAcentral lists this long non-coding RNA (559 nucleotides) under Astyanax mexicanus (Mexican tetra). Its description in RNAcentral is "lncRNA (ENSAMXG00005010432.1)". The record is from RNAcentral. Lineage: Eukaryota; Metazoa; Chordata; Actinopteri; Characiformes; Acestrorhamphidae.
CACUGUAUAUUUUAAUACUGAUAUAAUCUCCAUUGUGCUGGUUCAGCCUGUGGCCUGCAGCUGGAGUACGGCUCGCUGUAUUUUGUGGGAGGAGAUCGAGGGGAGUGGCAGACCGUGUCUGUAGAACUUUAUAAGAACCAAGCUGAUGAUAAUCACAACUAUCUUCAGGUCAGCAUGUCCAUUAACCCGUUUAACGCCCUGGUGUCCCUGGUCCUGCCCAGUGCGCUGAUCAUGCUGGCUGAUCUGGUGAGUUUCGCUCUGCCGCUGGAAGGAGGAAGGCGCAGCUCCUUUAAAAUCACGCUGGUGCUGAGCUUCACCAUGUUCCUCCUCAUCCUCACCAACCACCUGCCCAGCGGCGAACACUGCAACCCUCUGAUACGUUAUCACUUCUGUUUCUGUCUGUUCGUGCUGGUGCUCAGUAUGCUGAUGUCGAUGGUGUUCACAAAGCUGGCAGCAGAUGGCACCAUCAACCCAUUCAAACUCCAAAAGAUGCCCAGAUCAGGCAGGUUUAAAUAAAUCAGAAACAGAUCAGAAAUAAUAAAAAACACACAAUAACACA